GACGAACGCUGGCGGCGUGCUUAACACAUGCAAGUCGAACGGAAAGGCCCCUUUGGGGGUACUCGAGUGGCGAACGGGUGAGUAACACGUGAGUAACCUGCCCUUGACUUCGGGAUAACUUCAGGAAACUGGGGCUAAUACCGGAUAGGAAUCCUUGCUGCAUGGUGGGGGUUGGAAAGCUUCGGCGGUUUUGGAUGGACUCGCGGCUUAUCAGCUUGUUGGUGGGGUAGUGGCUUACCAAGGCUUUGACGGGUAGCCGGCCUGAGAGGGCGACCGGCCACAGUUGGACUGAGAUGCGGCCCAGACUCCUACGGGAGGCAGCAGUGGGGAAUAUUGCACAAUGGGCGGAAGCCUGAUGCAGCAACGCCGCGUGCGGGAUGACGGCCUUCGGGUUGUAAGCCGCUUUCAGCAGGGGCGAAGCUUGUGGUGACGGUACCUUCAGAAGAAGCACCGGCUAACUACGUG
Molecule: ribosomal RNA, 465 nt
Filed under: uncultured bacterium
Lineage: Bacteria
Description: partial 16S ribosomal RNA
Rfam family: Bacterial small subunit ribosomal RNA
Source: RNAcentral